GUUUAAACUUAAAUGAUUUGAUUCAUUAAUAUUUUUCCUAUAAAGAGGACAUGGACGUUUUCACCUAGGAAUAUUAAUGACAUGGACUAGAACUCCUAGGAAAAUUAGUCUGGGGACAUAAAUUACUAACAUCGGACAAAAAAUACUAGUAAAUUUUGUAACCAUGGACUUUUUCUACUAGUUAUAUGUGUCCGCCCAGACAUAUUUUACCAGGAC
This 216-nucleotide long non-coding RNA is filed under the name Mytilus galloprovincialis (Mediterranean mussel). Lineage: Eukaryota; Metazoa; Mollusca; Bivalvia; Mytilida; Mytilidae. The record is from RNAcentral.